UACGUAGGGUCCGAGCGUUGUCCGGAAUUACUGGGCGUAAAGAGCUCGUAGGUGGUUUGUCGCGUUGUUCGUGAAAACUCACAGCUCAACUGUGGGCGUGCGGGCGAUACGGGCAGACUAGAGUACUGCAGGGGAGACUGGAAUUCCUGGUGUAGCGGUGGAAUGCGCAGAUAUCAGGAGGAACACCGAUGGCGAAGGCAGAUCUCUGGGCCGUAACUGACGCUGAGGAGCGAAAGCGUGGGGAGCGAACAGG
This 253-nucleotide ribosomal RNA is filed under the name uncultured bacterium. Its description in RNAcentral is "partial 16S ribosomal RNA". It matches the Rfam family "Bacterial small subunit ribosomal RNA", at positions 524 to 776 of the family's 1533-position model. The record is from RNAcentral.